Vicia villosa (hairy vetch) is the source of this 884-nucleotide RNA transcript. It is a transcript of the gene named CASP-like protein 5B3, with no coding region annotated. The record is from RefSeq and is a predicted model, not a curated record. NCBI's taxonomy places the organism in Eukaryota, Viridiplantae, Streptophyta, Magnoliopsida, Fabales, Fabaceae. The transcript is spliced from 2 exons.
GAAGGAUUUCUCUGGGAUACCUGGCACUUUUCUUGGCUUGAUUCUUAGGAUUACACAGUUCGGUUUUGCUGUUGCUUCAAUGGCUUCCAUGGCUAGCGCUAAAACCCCGCGUUUCUUCAAUUUCACUACAUUUUGGUUCAAUAGACUUAUAAGAUAAGUUAUUAGAAAGAUCUCGAUUAACGUUUUGGAUAGAAGCAUUUUACUGGAUAGAAUAUUAUGGCGAAAGUUGAUCAUGUAUCUGAUUCCACUUAGUGAGAUAAGCUUCAACAACCAUGCUUGAAUGUUGGAUUGAAAUAUCUUAAUACUGACUGUUCCAUUGGUUUUUCAGUUCCUUGAUGUCUUCAAUGGCUUUACAAAGCCUUUGGAGUUUUGCACUUGCUUUGUUGGAUGCGCAUGCUUUGGUGACAAAGAAGAUCUUGCUUAACCCUGUAAUAAUUGGCUUCUAUGCUGUUGGAGAUGGGGUUAGUUUCUUAGUAAAUUUAUACUUUUCCUAAUUGGUUUGUUAGACACACCUAGGAAUUGCCCGGCCUGCCGGGCCUGUCUGAUUUGCCCACACUUUUUCAUGGGACGGGUCAAAGUUUUAGACCCGCAUCCUCUAAUGUGCUCGCACAUUUUUACAGGACGGGUUAAGAUUUUAGACCCACACUUAGGGGUGUUCAUGGGUUGGGUAAACCCAAUAAAUCCAGUAAAACCCACCCAAACCGAUCCAAAAAAGUGGGUUGGGUUGGGUUAUUGGGUGAAUACGGUUUUCAAAAAUGAAAACCCAUUCAAAAUAAUUGGGUUAUGGGUAAACCCACACCCAACCCACAAAACCCAUGGGUUAUUGAGUGACUAUAUUUUUCUCUUUUUUGUAAUUUGACAAGUGAUGACUUUGAUGUUUUUAA